UACGUAGGGUGCGAGCGUUAAUCGGAAUUACUGGCGUAAAGCGUGCGCAGGCGGCUUUGCAAGACAGAUGUGAAAUCCCCGGGCUUAACCUGGGAACUGCAUUUGUGACUGCAUGGCUGGAGUGCGGCAGAGGGGGAUGGAAUUCCGCGUGUAGCAGGUGAAAUGCGUAGAUAAUGCGGAGGAACACCGAUGGCGAAGGCA
Molecule: ribosomal RNA, 201 nt
Filed under: uncultured bacterium
Lineage: Bacteria
Description: partial 16S ribosomal RNA
Rfam family: Bacterial small subunit ribosomal RNA
Source: RNAcentral